CCUACGGGGGACUGCAGUAGGGAAUAUUGCUCAAUGGGGGAAACCCUGAAGCAGCAACGCCGCGUGGAGGAUGAAGGUUUUCGGAUUGUAAACUCCUUUUGUUAGAGAAGAAAAUGACGGUAUCUAACGAAUAAGCACCGGCUAACUCCGUGCCAGCAGCCGCGGUAAUACGGAGGGUGCAAGCGUUACUCGGAAUCACUGGGCGUAAAGAGCGCGUAGGCGGGAUAGCAAGUCAGAUGUGAAAUCCUAUGGCUUAACCAUAGAACUGCAUUUGAAACUGGUAUUCUAGAGUAUGGGAGAGGUAGGUGGAAUUCUUGGUGUAGGGGUAAAAUGCGUAGAGAUCAAGAGGAAUACUCAUUGCGAAGGCGACCUGCUAGAACAUAACUGACGCUGAGGCGCGAAAGCGUGGGGAGCAAACAGGAUUAGAUACCCCUGUAGUC
Molecule: ribosomal RNA, 440 nt
Filed under: uncultured bacterium
Lineage: Bacteria
Description: partial 16S ribosomal RNA
Rfam family: Bacterial small subunit ribosomal RNA
Source: RNAcentral